Transfer RNA from Candidatus Accumulibacter, 85 nucleotides. It matches the Rfam family "tRNA". From Rfam's summary of the family: Transfer RNA (tRNA) molecules are approximately 80 nucleotides in length. Their secondary structure includes four short double-helical elements and three loops (D, anti-codon, and T loops). NCBI's taxonomy places the organism in Bacteria, Pseudomonadati, Pseudomonadota, Betaproteobacteria. The record is from Rfam.
GGAAGCGUGGCAGAGUGGUCGAUUGCACCGGUCUUGAAAACCGGCAACGGGCAACCGUUCGUGAGUUCGAAUCUCACCGCUUCCG